UUUUUUUUUUUUUUUUUUUUUUUUUGGUUUUUCGGGCCGCACACAAGGCAUGUGGAGGUUCCCAGGCUAGGGGUCAAAUUGGAGCUACAGCUGCUGGCCUUCACUACAGCCACGUCAGAUCCGAGCCACAUCUGCGACCUACACCACAGCUCGUGGCAAUGCCAGAUCCUUAACCCACUGAGCAAGGCCAGGGAUCAAACCCACAACCUCAUGGUUCCUACUCGGAUUCAUUGCUGUUGCGCCAUGACCAGAACUCCAAGCUCUUUUAUUUUAUUUUUUUUUUUACUGGAGAAGGACUGAAUAAAUGAGGAGACACAGAAAGUAAUGCUAAAGAAGGGUGUGCCUUUAUAAUUACGAGAUCAAAAGGCGACCACCUGAGUCCUUGGCCCCCUCCCGCCGCCCCAUGUUUCUCUACAGCAUCUUGUAAAUGGAUAGCUUACCAAAGUUAAAAGUUCACGAUGGCCACUCUAAUUCAAGGUUAUAUUGAUAAGUUUAACCUGCUAUUUCAUCCUUAAAGUGAAAUUGUAUUCACCUGAGGCCUCGCAGGGGCUCUGCUCCAGCUUAAGUCAGAUCCACUCUUGACCCCAGACUAGAUCCUGACAAUGUCAGAUGUGAGCAGUUUUUCAGAGGCAGGCCAGCAAAAACAAUGCUCACAGGGUCAGAAAGCUCAUAAGGCAAAAACUUUGGACCCAGGACCCAAGACCGAGAGGACCAGCCCAGUGCCUCCAGAGGCAGCAGGAGAAGCGCGAGGACAAGGGACUCAGCAGGUACCUUUCCUGGUUGCUCAGGCUCUUGGGGGCUGUGGAGUCUCUUUCCAGUCCCCCUCUGACACCAGAGCUGUUCAAAGAUUAAACCGGUGUGUAUUAAAAAUUCUAAGAACAAAAGUUGAUUGGAAUCAGGGAGCAUCCAGUGUAUCAGGGGGAGAGAAACUCUGAGAAGCUGCACAAAACGAAGGACUUUUGUGAGCAGGAGGGAGCGGGAGCAAGGGAGUUUUCUUAGUCAAAAGGCAUGGUUUUUGCAGAGUUACUUUCCUAGAGGGGCGGCAGGACCAUCAGGGGCUUCUGAUAGACUUAUUUAAGGUUCCACUUCUGGGAGAACUGCUGCUGUUUGUCUCGGUUUGGUGACGUGGGGCUUAGGAUAAGCUCCUGUAUUUUGGGGUCUGUGUCUUGUUUUUACCAAGGGCUGAGGCCCUGUCUUUAUCUUUGUUGGAAAGAGAGGGUGGAGGUGACAUUCCGGGCACUGAAAUGGCAGAUGCAAACUUUGUUUUCAUGUCCGUGUGUGCUCAGACCUUGUGAGAAGUACAGCUGGUCGAUGUUUGCUUUUUUCCUGCACCCGAAGUAAGUUCGUGUUAACCAUCAAUACUGAAAACACUGCUUUUGGUUCAAAGUAUGAUCAGAUUCCUUGUUUUAAUGGCCACAAGUUCAGCAGAUAAUAGGAGCAAAGCUACCCAAUCAAGGCAUGAAUAGAGCAGUUGUACUAACUCAGUCCCAAUCCUGUGUCCUGGGAGGCCGUGGGGCAGGUAUUAAAUUUUGUUUCACUUGUUACCAAGAAUCCCGUUUUCCUCUGGGCGCCUCAAAUCUCACAAUCUCCUACCCAAGCAAUUAGAAAUCAUCCUUGAAAGCACACUUUGGAGAAAAGAAAAUCCAUUGCAUAGUUUGUUUCUGAAGCUUAAUGUAAUUUAAGCUUAGGUUUUGUCUUUGGAAAAUUACACCAGGAAAACAUGUAUUUCAGAUGACCUUGAACAUUCUAAUGUCUGUGCCACGACAACUAGGACUUUGCACCGGGAAGGGACCAGGACUUGGGUUCUGAACAUGGCCUUGGAGUUCCAGCGUGACUGGGAAGACAGCUACCUUGCUGGGCUGCUCUGUGUUCUUUUCAUGAGGUUUCCUUGGCAAAUAAAUGGCUGGAGAAAAUGGUUUGUAAAUUUAGAAUACUCUGCAAGGAGUAGUAAUUUGCAUAAUUUCAAACUCUUGGAGGAGACAUCUUGUAAACUGCACCUAAGUGUGAUCCAUCAUCAUCUAUUUAUCGUGUCAGUACUAAAAUGAUGAAUGAUGCUUGCUGGUGUAGAUGUAAAAAUGAACCUUUCCAUCACAGAGCAGACAUAUCUGAAAGUACAGCGGGAGUCAUCACUGUUGGAUGAGACCCUUUUUAUUUUUUAUUAUCUUAUUUUUGUCUUUUUAGGGCUGCACCCACGGCAUAUAGAGGCUCCCAGGCUAGGGGUCCAAUUGGAGGUAUAGCUGCUGGCCUGCACCACAGCCACAGCCAUGCCAGAUCCAAGCCAUGUGUGCAACUUACACUGCAGCUCAUGGCAAUGCAGGAUCCUUAACCCAUGGAGCGAGGCCAGGGAUGGGACAUCGUGCAUCCUCAUGGAUGCUAGUCAGAUUCCUUUGUGCUGAGCCAUGGUGGGAACUCGAUGAGAUUCUUUGUAGAAGCCAGGUUGAGACAGCUGGUUUUCUUUUCCUGUAAUUCCUUGCUUUUGGGUUUAAAGUAAAUGACCCUUUAGAGGAUACACUGUAUACAGGAAAAUCAAAAGACGGUUGUAUUACGUGAUCCCUAAAAUCCUUCAAAAGAAAGUUCUUUGUAACAAAAUACCUUCCCUGUCGAAAAAUACCUUCCGCAUCAACCUCCAGAGUUUCUAUGUGUAGUGAAUGCGUGUAGUGUCAUAUUCUUUAUCUUCUUGGACUUGUAACAUCUAAGUGACUGUGUGGCCUCCUAAAUAAUUGAACUGCUCGCUUUUCGCACUUUCAGGGACUGGGUGGCUGACGUGUGCGAGAGCUGUGCCCUUUUCUGAUUUUCAUCAGAUUCUCGGCAAAACAACUUUAUUUUACUCCACCCUCAUAUUUUUAUUGCGUCCAUCAUCCAAAACAAAAACUACUUAAAUGAAAACUCUGUACUUGAAAGGUUCUGUUCUUUCUCAGUAUAGUAUCUAAAACUAUUCCAUUUCCUUAAAUCAAAAUAUAUAAAUGUAUAUGAUAUAAAUGCUUAGGAUAAGGAAGGAAGAAAGAAGGAUGGUGAAAUAAAUAGGACAGCUCUCAGGUUUCCCUGACACCAGAAACACCUGUCUUACUUGCUAAUGUGCACAGAUAGGUUUGGUCCAGCUUCAUCUGCCAUCCUCUGCCCCACGGCAGCCAAGAUGAUGUGUGAUUCUUCCUGAGAACAAGAACUGGGACCCGUGGUGGGGUGAGCAUAAAGGGGUGGGAUAUCCCCCCUGUUCUAAUAAGGUAGGAAUGGCUUGUGACCUCUCCUCCUAUUCCCUAAAACCUCAUGUUGAACCACCGAGGACGCAGGAAAGUUGUUUCUUUUAAUUAAUUCACUUAUUUAUUUUUGUCAAUUUAUUGUCUUUUUAGGUCCUCACCCGUGGCAUAUGGAGGUUCCAAGGCUAGGGGUUGAAUCAGAGCUGCAGCCCCCAGUCUAUACCACAGCCACAGCAAUGCCAGAUCUGAGGCACGUCUGCGACCUUCACCACAGCUCACAGCAAUGCGAGAUCCUUAACCCACUGAGUGAGGCCAGGGAUUGAACCGGCAACCUCAUGGUUCCUAGUUGGAUUCAUUUCUGCUGUGCCAUGAUGGGAACUCGGGAAAGGUGCCUUAAUCAGAAAGGCUGGCAAUCUGGGGAGAAGGUGGACUCAUGUCCAGAGAACUCUGAAGAUUCCACUGAACCAUAUGGUAAUUUUUAAAUGGAAAAGGGGAAAGAAUCUCAGUGAAUCAUCAGUUGUUGGCUUCUGCAUCAUCCCUUUUUUUUUCUUGCUUUUUAGGGCCUCAUACAAGGCAUAUGGAAGUUCCCAGCCUAGGGGUCAAAUCAGAGCUGUAGCUGCCAGCCUACGCCACAGCCACAGCAACGUGGGAUCUGAACUGCGUCUGUGACCUACACCACAGCUCACGGCACUGUCAGAGCCUUAAUCCCCUGAGCAAGGCCGGAGAUUGAACCCUAGUCCUCAUGGAUGCCAGUCGGAUUCAUAUCCAUUGUGUCACAACAGGAGCUCCUUCUGCAUCAUUGUUGAUUGUUUGCAGUCUUGCCGACUUUUCAGAUAUUAUCUUGCCUGUAUGAUCUCUGUCCACCUGCCGGAUAGGAUUGGCUAAGGGAGCUGUGGAGAGUAGAGAGCUAGUCAUUCUUCAAUUAUUUAAUUUUUCAUUCUUAUUUUUUCUGUCUAGGAAAAGAAUCAACAGGUUAGGCAAGGUUGUGCGUUCAGGAGAGCCUAAGUCUGGAGUUAGGAUAAACUGCCUAGGGAUCUCAUUCCUAUCAUUUCAUUCUUGUAAAGUUAGAGGGGAAGAGAAAUGGGCCAACAGGAAGCGUGUAAAAGAGCUGCUUUGAAUUCCCCACUGUCAAACAUCAUUGCAUUUUUCCCUGGGAUUCGGGGUGAAGGUCCCUCUUAGGUACCUUCUUCAGGAUGUUGGGGGGCACCGUAUUCUCAGCGUGGAAGAUGUCGCCGUGGCUCCAGUAGCCUUUCUUUCCUGACAUUUUUAGUUGUCUGCCUACAUACACGGGCAGAACCAAGCUACAACUAUUUUCAUGCUCACAAAGAUACAGAUUAUUAUGGGCAAUGAUGUUAAUCUCCUUCUCCUGGGGCCACUUCUUGGAAUUGUGCCGGCCAUAGCAUCCUCCAGCGCGUGUCAAGGCCACCGGUCAUCAUCCAGUUAGCUUUUUUCCCUCUGGGGGUAGUUAGAGUAUCUGUAAAACAAGCCAGGAAUGUGAAUCAGACACGGAGUCUGCAAUUCCAUUGUCCUAAUCAUUAACUGCUCUUCUAUGACUCUGCGAGGCCUGAGAGACUUGAGCUUUUCUAUACAAAAGAGGCAGGAGACAGAGAAAGGCUGUUGUCCUUGGGGGACCCUGCAGGGUUCUGCUUGGUUUUGUUAUCAAAUCCAAGUGUGUGUGCUGGACACACAAUGAGGCCA
RNAcentral lists this long non-coding RNA (4892 nucleotides) under Sus scrofa (pig). RNAcentral's name for it is "lncRNA (ENSSSCG00065007872.1)". The record is from RNAcentral. Lineage: Eukaryota; Metazoa; Chordata; Mammalia; Artiodactyla; Suidae.